CCCAAUCAGCAGGAUGUUGUGUUUUUUGAGAAAAAUGGACUUCUCCAUGGACAUUUUACACUUCCUUUCCUCAAAGUUGAGGUUAAGGUUAAUGACCUUCUCUGGAAUGCAGAUUCCACCGUGCUUGCAGUAUGGAAGACCUUCAGAGGGAAGAAAAUUCCACUCUAAAAACCUAUGUUCAGCUCUGGACUGUUGGAAACUAUCACUGGUAUCUCAAGCAAAGCCUGCCCUUCGGCACCUGUGGGAAGAGCGAGAUUGUGUCCCUGAUGUGGGGCCCAGUGACCCCAUACCGGCUGUAUGUUCUCUGUCAAGGCUGACAUUACCUCUGCUAUGA
Molecule: long non-coding RNA, 334 nt
Filed under: Monodon monoceros (narwhal)
Lineage: Eukaryota; Metazoa; Chordata; Mammalia; Artiodactyla; Monodontidae
Description: lncRNA (ENSMMNG00015009320.1)
Source: RNAcentral